CCUACGGGUGGCAGCAGUGAGGAAUAUUGGUCAAUGGGCGCGAGCCUGAACCAGCCAAGUAGCGUGAAGGAUGACUGCCCUACGGGUUGUAAACUUCUUUUAUAAAGGAAUAAAGUGAAGCACGUGUGCCUUAUUGUAUGUACUUUAUGAAUAAGGAUCGGCUACCUCCGUGCCAGCAGCCGCGGUAAUACGGAGGAUCCGAGCGUUAACCGGUUUUGUUGGGUUAAAGGGGAGCGUGGAUGGGUUGUUAAGUCAGUUUUGAAAGUUUGCGGCUCAACCGUAAAUUUGCAAUUGAUACUGGCAGUCUUGAGUACAGUUGAGGUAAGCGGAAUUCGUGGGGUAGCGGUGAAAUGCUUAGAUAUCACGAAGAACUCCGAUUGCGAAGGCAGCUUACUAAACUGCCACUGACAUUGAUGCUCGAAAGUGUGGGUAUCAAACAGGAUUAGAUACCUCGGUGUC
This 459-nucleotide ribosomal RNA is filed under the name uncultured bacterium. Its description in RNAcentral is "partial 16S ribosomal RNA". It matches the Rfam family "Bacterial small subunit ribosomal RNA", at positions 338 to 795 of the family's 1533-position model. The record is from RNAcentral.